CGGAAAUAUUUUGGCCAUUAAAUUAUUUAUUAAUUAUCCCGGGGGGACGGCAACUAGCAGAACGUGGCCAACUUCCUGCUUAUUUCCGUAUACCUUUUAAGUAAUUAAUAAUGCGCAACAUAAUCGAUUUUCAUACAAAUUAAGAUUUAUUUGGCCGUCAACAAAAAACACCAACAAGAGCAACCGAAAACGGCUAAUUUAUUUUCCCCAGUUGCGCAUUUUUAUAUUGCAAUAAUCAUUCCCCCAUUUAGAAUGGAUCACACUCGCACCCUGUAUAAAACUCCUAUAAAUUAGUUAAACAAGCCGAAGAUAGAAGGAAAACCACAACCCUAACUGCUUAUAUUUGAACAGUUGAUUAAUCGACAAACGCAUAAUGUUUUGCUAAUGUCUUUCCUGACUCCAUUGGCGUAUGUGUGGAAAUGGGGCUUUUGUUUCUCUUGGUGUUUGUAACCAAUGCCCAAUUAAGUCAUUGCUCAAAGUGUCAUCAAUAGGCCCCGUAAUUGGAAAUUAAUUGCCAGCAAAUUUGGCAUAAGUUGGGCAGAUGGCAUUUGUUACAAUGGGAUAAACGGACCAUAGAGUGUCUCUUUUGGUUUAUUGGGUAUCUCCUUCCUAGUCCCUAUUUAUUUUGUUAAGCACUGCAAGUAUGAACAAAACUCGUUUGUUUACCUAACUUCAAUGUAAACUUGUUUGUAAAAAAUUAAAGGACGGUGCAGACAUCCUUUUUCGUGGCUAUUAUAUGUUUUUUAUAUGUAGUUAAACUAAAAUAAUUAAUACAAGACUCAAAAAAUUUAAAAAAAAAUUUUAAAAAUCGGUCAAACACAACGAGUGUGUUAUAUGAUGCUGAUCAAGGAUUCAGAAUCUUUCAUCUUUCAUUAAGUAGCAACAUGCAAGCGUCUGGAGGGUUUGAAUUUCUAGUGUGUGUUUUAAUAAAUCAGUGAACUUUUGAGCAGUUCAAAUCGAUAUGACCAACAAAUUUUGAUAAUUCUGAUUGUCGUCAAAAUCCACAAAUAUUAUUUUUAUUAAUUUUGGAAAACUUCUCGCUCAGCCCUCGCAAUAAUAGAUAUUUUCUUCAAGCUCCCCCGGCAAUCCCAUUUUCAUUUGCAAUGGCUGGUGUGUGCCCCACCGGUUCACUUCCCAUCACGUUUAUUUUCCACUUGCUCUUAUUUUUUCUGUCUUUUACUCAAUUAUGAAAAGAAAUUAUUAAGUGCGGGCCUCGCUAAAUUAGCGCGCAAUUGACUGUGGCCAGGGGAUUUUGUCUUGGGUCGAGGAAGUGGGGGAGGACAAGACACAUCCACCUUUUCCUAACUAAGACGAGUGUGCAAUGUCUUCGGAUUUCUCGAGUAUGAACGCCAGACUGCGGCUCUUGCCUGUUGCUUCAAAAUGUUCGCCACAUUUCUAAGGAGACGCCCCACGUACGAACUAUAGUGGGGAAAAUUAUAAAUGGCGCAUAUUUUGUGCAUUUCAUUUGCCAGCCAGAAUGUAGCAUCUUCCUAAUACGUUGGCUUACAGCUCUACAUUGUCCCAUGGAAGAAUGUGUAUGUACUGGCUGACUGACGUUUGAUGGUGACAAUUCAGAAGGAAGGCGGGGGGAGUCGAAGGCCUGACAGAACUCCCAGGCACUUUUAUUCAACAGGUGGCAUUGGUCAGAGCUAUUUUGUUGGUAAUACAGGGAAUGAUUGCCGAGAAUUUCUAUGCAUGUUGCUUGGAGGUAUGCCAAAUGCUGUGGGUGCUUGUCUCGGUGGCACGGAAGCAACGUCAUCACUUUGGAUUAUCAGAGCGAGCCAAGAUGGAUGUUUAAUUGACCGCAAAUAGAAACUGUAAAUUAUGCCAACAAAAGAUUUUACUCCCCAAACUGGUAUCGUUGCUAAUAGGAAAAUUGCGCUAACGAUGUUCGAGAUCCAGCAGAAGCGAAUGAUAUAUGCCAUGUCAGCUUUUAUUCUGUGAAUUAGAUUAAUCACAGAAUAAGAAUUGCAAUUGACAAUACCACUAAACAGUCCCCCGACUAUCAGAUACCCGUUACAUAGCUGGUGGGUAUACGAAAGGGUUUCAAAUUUAUUUGAAAUAGUAAAUUCAAGAAGAAAUAUCAUAUUUGAGCACGUUAGGGUGUGGCUAAAAUUUUUUUUUGUCAUAUUGUCACUUACAAAACAUAUUUAUAUAAAGAAAAUUAAAACCUAUUAUAAGUAUCAGCUAUUUUCUAAUUGAAGUGAUCCAAGUACUAGAAUAAUUAAUUAUUCGAGAGAUAAUAUGUUUUUGAUCUACAAAUCCGGUAGUUUUUCAGAGCCUAAAUAAAAAAGUUUCACCAUAACUCAAAAGAACGCUGCAUACAUUUUUCACUUUCAGCGCAGAAAAUAUAAACAAAUGCCAGACUGCAUCCUGUAUCACUAUCGCUUAGGAUUGAGCUUCGCAAAAGAAAAGUCUGACAAAGCAUUCUAGAUCAUCAGAUAGAAAAAACAUUAUGCAUAAAGGAACCUCUGAAGCUAAAUAUUUAUGUAUGAGUUGGAAAAUAAUGUAAGCAAAAAAAACCUUUGUUCAUUUUCGAUUACUUGGAAAACGACUAAAAUAACUAGCGUGUGCUCUUAUUGUUCGGAUUUAAAUGUAUUGUAUACUUUAGAGUCAAAUGGAAUAAAGUUUUACAUAUCAAAGCUUUAAAUUAUGUAUUUGCUGAACAUAAUGAUGCUUGCGAUCAUAUUUUCUCUAAAGUAGUGGUCUUAUAUUUCGAUUCUUACUUCUCCGGUUGUGCUUAGUAUGCGAAUCAGCAGACAAACACAUUUGGAGUCAAAAUGCAUUAAGAAUAUUUGCUCCAUUCCACGAUAAUAGGCCCUUGAAUUUUUAUUUUACUGUGAGAUCUACUUUUGUGUAUGAAAGUUUCUCGUGGAAAACAACCUAGAAAAGCAGUCAGUCAAGCACAUCAAAUUCAAAAGCAGUCUUGUAAUCAACUAAGUGACACGGAUACGCACUAAGUGCCUUUAAUUGCUGUCUAUCACUGGCUUUUGACUCACUGGAUCAGCGAUCUCUACUUAAGACCGUAAGGGUACAGACCCCUUUCUGAUGGUUUUUCAAUAACUACUUCCGCUGCAAUUCAUAUGACAAAUUUAGGUGGACAGGAUGGUGGAUGGCGUGUUAAUUACGCUCUGCGUCAUAUGCAGGCGGACAGCCCGCUGACAGGACAAUUUUAGAGCUUUCAUCUGGGCACAGUUCGGCCCGCUUCGUUUCUGUAAAUCUCUAUCAAAAUCCCAUAGCAACUUUUCCGCACGGCUACGCGUUUUUCCCCGCCGUGUGUGUGUAGGAGCUUUUCACAUUGUUUGGCGUUUUAUGAGCAUGAAAUUAAAUUAAUUAAAACUACACGUCGUCUCACUGUUUUCCGCACCCAGCAACACACGCUCUUCUCAUAAAAAGGAGAAAAUCUGUCAGAACUGUGUCAAACUUGGGCGAAUACACACUUUCAAGCUGCAGAAAGGUUGGCUUUAAUAGUUCUUCUGAUAUAUCCCUAUUCUGCGGGUUUGGAUGGAUUUGAUGGCCACUCCACGACUCCCAGCAGCAGCCUUGACGUAACCUUUAUAACCCAUCAUCUGAGUGAUAUUCAGGUUACUAUAUGACGGCUUACCCAAUUUAGAGUAUAUGAAAAAAUGUUCAAAGUUCCUUAAAUUAUAGAUUUUUUUCUCGCAUAUUUCAGUGUAAUUUUGGUCCGAUUCAACUCAUAUUUUCUAUUCAGCCGGACAAGUGAAAACUUUGUGAACUGCAAAUGAACCGGAUUAAGUUUUAGCUCUACAGAAACGAAAAGGUUAAAAGAUAUAAACGCAAAGCCAGCCAACUAAUUGCUGAUAUCUGUGCUUCGUGCUAGUGUGGGUGCAAGGACCAAGCUGGCUGGCAUUCACACAUACAUAUACUACUUUUGUGCAUAUAUGCGGUUGUCAAAGGUGCAGCUCCUAAAACUCAGGCCAUUCAACACGUCACCAACGGCUUAACUUGUUGCACCAAAAGCCAUGGCGUUGGGCUGAAACCUGAACUGUCCAUUAGGUGACCUGGCGGAUUAUACCUUCCAGGGCCUUUAAAAGGUUUCUGGCAAAAGGGCCGAAUCAUAAAUAAUGUAGAAUGUGUAAAUGCAGAACGUUAAACACGUUUUCUGUCAAUUUAAUUUGUAAUUAGUCACGGCGGUCGUUAAAGGCUCCUCCUGAGAGACCAGAGAGGCCAGUUUGCUGACUGCUUCUUGACUUUAAUUGAAAUUGGCAGCUGCUAACCCGCAACCCGAAAGCCACCUACUUGCACGUGAUUUCGUUGCUAAUUAUUGUGUGAGGUAUCGGGGAGCACGACCGAAGUGUCAUCAUCCAUCUCCUCCAGACACGGCGCUCUGGUGCUGGCCAGUCUACGUGCCGCAAAAUUCACUUAGAGCUGUCUCCCUGCAUUCAGUCGCUUCUAUUAAUAGUCGCAUGCUAAUCAGGCAUUAACAAUGGUUCCGUUUCUUUAAUUUGCAUUGGUAGUGUUUUGUAUCGGUUAGGUGACAAAGUAUUUUGUCUUUUUUCGCAAAUAACAUCCGUGCCUUUAUAUAUUUACUACCACAGCACUAAAAAAAAGGCUUGCAUAUACCUUCUAAUAUUUUGGUAUAGUUUAACUCUUUUUUUUACGGAUUUGAACGGAUUCUCUUUUUGGAAUAUGAGCAAUGUAUGAGUAACACAGAAACUUCCCGACUUGUAUGUAUGCAUGUACAUAUAUAUGUAUGUAUUGAAAAGCAUAUCAAAAUCUUCAUGAAUAUGUGCGCCAGACAAUUUUUAACGUCAAGAUCCGCUCCGCGUUUGUUGCUGAUCAAUAAUAUUAAACACAUAAUGAUAUCAAUUUACAUACACACUUUAUUUACUCAAUAAGAUUCAUUCGGUAGCAAUCUAAUUUGUUUACUAUAAAGACGAAAUAAAAAUGGCUCAUAAAAAAUUCGUAAAAAGAAUCUCGACAAGUUGCCUUUCAUUUUGCCGCCGGCUGACAUUAGAUAUUUAGAUUAAACGCAACUAAAAUUCUCUGGAAAAUAAAUGGACCUAGCAAACACACGCCAUAAUAGUGCGUUAGGCAAUAACUAUACAUACAUGCAUACAUAUUUGUGUUUGGUGCUCUCUUGCCGGCCGGCAGCCGCCGCUCGAUCAGCUGGGCCGUAAUAACAAGUCUUCCCGGAAUCUCUGCUACUGCGGGUUCGGAGGAGCGGCAGAUAGGUCUCAUUUUGAAGUCAUUAAUUUGACGAUGCUAAAUGAGAAUUUAUGUGUCUACUGCAGCGGCUCAGGCCGGCAAUUUCUCAUGCACAAACAUUUCUCAAUGCUUGACAGAAAGACCAAAAAGAGUCACUUCGGGUCCCGAAACUUGUUCACGCUGUCCAGAUGUCAUUAACACUCGGUGCUCGGCAUGACCAAAAAUGAACAAAAAAAUAAACCACCAACAAACAACAAAUAUACUUAACAUGACAACUAAAAACGGAGGCGGCAGAGCUCUUAUUAAUAGCCAAUUUUGUAGAUGUGUACGUAAAAGGAUCUAAAGAACCCAAAGUCGUCAAUCUCAUAAACAUUAGCCUUUUCUGUGCUUUGAUUUUUAAUUUAUCUUGAUUUUGGUCAAAACAAUGUAAGUUAAAAAUCAGACAACUAUAUAAAGUAUGGGAACAGAACAAAAAUUUUUUGAACACAUUAGAAAAGAAAUUAUAUCAUCAUUUUGUCGUUUUUAA
Molecule: long non-coding RNA, 5695 nt
Organism: Drosophila yakuba
Lineage: Eukaryota; Metazoa; Arthropoda; Insecta; Diptera; Drosophilidae
Exons: 2
Source: RefSeq, a predicted model, not a curated record